RNAcentral lists this ribosomal RNA (467 nucleotides) under uncultured bacterium. RNAcentral describes it as "partial 16S ribosomal RNA". It matches the Rfam family "Bacterial small subunit ribosomal RNA", at positions 28 to 507 of the family's 1533-position model. The record is from RNAcentral.
GAUGAACGCUGACCGAAUGCUUAACACAUGCAAGUCCACUUGAAUUUGGGUUUUUAACUUCGGUUUGGGUGGCGGACGGGUGAGUAACGCGUAAAGAACUUGCCUCACAGCUAGGGACAACAUUUGGAAACGAAUGCUAAUACCUAAUAUUAUGAUAAUAGGGCAUCCUAUAAUUAUGAAAGCUAUAAGCGCUGUGAGAGAGCUUUGCGUCCCAUUAGCUAGUUGGAGAGGUAACGGCUCACCAAGGCGAUGAUGGGUAGCCGGCCUGAGAGGGUGAUCGGCCACAAGGGGACUGAGACACGGCCCUUACUCCUACGGGAGGCAGCAGUGGGGAAUAUUGGACAAUGGACCAAGAGUCUGAUCCAGCAAUUCUGUGUGCACGAUGAAGUUUUUCGGAAUGUAAAGUGCUUUCAGUUGGGAAGAAAGAAAUGACGGUACCAACAGAAGAAGUGACGGCUAAAUACGUG